AUCCUCUCCUCAAGUGUCCUGAAAGAACACAGCCCUGUCAACACCUGAUUUCUAACCUACAGAACUGUGAGGAACAAACGGGAAGGACUGUAAACAGGUGUGUCAGUGUUCAGCUGAGAAUGAGGAGUGUCACUCCAUCACAGGGAGAUGUACCUGUGUGCUGGGCUACCAUGGAAACCGCUAUCAUCUCCGUUGCCCAAAAGGCACUUAUGGUCCUUAUUGACAAAGGAAGUGUAAGUGACUGAACGGUGGCAGCUGCGACACCAUGAUUGGCACCUGUGACUGCCCUCCUGGCUUCAUCGGGGCUGACUGCAGUCAAACUUGUCCUGAAGAUCACUACGGGCAGGACUGUGUCCAGCGGCGUUCCUGUGGCUCAGGACAGUGUGACCCAGUGACUGGAGGGUGCCAGUGUCCCCCCCGGCCAAAUGGGAGCCAGGUGUCAGCAAGGAUGUCCCCCAACGAGGUAUGGCCCAAACUGUGAGCUAAAAUGUACCUGUAAAAAUGGUGGCCUUUGCAAUCCUGUGGAUGGAAGCUGUACCUGUGCCCUUGGCUGGACAGGAAAUUAUUGUGAAAAAGGUAAGUUGAUUACUACCUUCUUUCAUUCAAUAAAAAUCUACAGCAUAGUGCCAUUGGUUGAUAAAGUAUAGUACAGACCUGUGAAGGAGCUCUUUUCCAAUAAGUUUAUACAAGUUGUUUAUAAUUAUGAUUGCAUUUCCAAUAAAAAUAAUGUUAUGUUAAUACUGAUUGAUUUUUUUACCUUGUUACUGGAAUACCACAUGAAAACUCUUAAAACUCUUAAGUAAUUGAAAUAGUAUUCAUGCGAAAGAGCUCCUUUGAGACCUGAAUCCCACUCCCCACCCCCAGCAAGUUCUUGAGGCAGGCGGGAUGGAGGAUGCAGGGCCCUGGGCAGAGCCAGUUCACAUCAGGAGUGGACCCAGCUGCAAGAAGUGAAGUGCAGGAUUCUGGGAGCAGAGGUCUCCAAACUGCACCUCAUCGGGAGAAAUUUAAUCAUGCACCACCAUAAAUGUACUUUUAUUUAGAAGUGACAUUCAUGUGCUUCUCCACUAAUAUGUACAUUAUAAAGGUUUAAAUUGAUAAUGAAUGGAUAAAGAUAAAGAUCAAUAGUUGUUCUAAUGUUUUCUUUUGGAACCACAGUUGAUAAUUUUGUACAACACUGAAAAGCAUGCACCAUAGUUAGAGCACACUAUUGUGGGAGGUAGUGUUGUGUUUUUGCAGAAUAUUGAGAAAAAGCAGUGAGGCGGAGCAUGGGUGAGAACACUGUGCUUGGGGCCUAAACUUGGGGUGCCCUGAGUGAAACAUAACCCACAGUGAACUUUUACCUAGAUGGUUCCAACUUUGGGGGCUAUGGCUCUUUAGACCUGCGGCCCUAACAUACUCUCACAGUGAGUGUGAGUACCCACCAUCCUUUGCCGCUAAUUUGACCGUCGUGAAACUCGGCAGCGUGGCACAGGCGAAAGCACCUUGCACUGGGGGUGGAUAACCCUUAGGCUAAUCUCUGCUCUGCUGACCAUGCUCUGUGCCUUGGAGAGGUUCACAACCUCUCCCUGAGUUUCCCAUCUGAAAGUGAGUAUGGUGACACUUUGAAAUGACAGCCCUUCUAAAUCCAACAUUAAAGACCAUUUUUCACAGAAUUUUUAAAAACAUGGAUAUCCUCCCUAAUUCAUCGGAAACAGCUCCUAUCAAUUUUGUGAUAUUUGGGACUCCUAAAUCAGAGGAAUAGCAGUGUGUUUAGAAUAGAUGUGUUCAUGUUGUUUUUGUUUCUAAUUCAGAGUUGGAUAAUUCUAGCAUUUGGGGUUGUGGGAUAUUUUAACUUUUGAUUCUAUCAUUUAAACUCUUUAUUAUGGAACAUUUCAAACACAUACAAGAGUUACUGAGUCAUGGGGUAAGUACAAAUGUAGUUUUGCAACAUACUGACAGAUUUUCUUUCAUGUGGGAUUGUACCAUAUUGCAUCCUCAUAAACAACAUAUAGAAUGCCUGUUUCCUCACAAGGGAAUCAAAAGAGUAUAUUAUCAAAGUUUUGGUGAGAAAUGUUGUAUUAGUGGAGUUUUCAUUUUUAUUAUUAUGAAUAAAGUUUAGCAUCCUCUUUAAUGGGUAAGGACCUUUUUCUAUAAAUUGUCUAUUUGUACUGUAAAUAGUUGUAUUUUUUGUGUGCCCAUAGGAGGAGGUGAGCUCGGGGUCUUUUUUAUUCCACCAUCUUGACCACUACCAUCCCUGCAUGGCUUUUUUUUUUUCCAACAGGAUAAUUGGGUUUCUAACAUGACAGCUGACUUUUUUUUUUUUUUUUUUUUUUUUGGCUGUGUUGGGCUUUCAUUGCUCUGUGCAGGCUUUCUCUAGUUGCAGCGAGCGGGGGCUACUCUU
This is a long non-coding RNA of Aethalodelphis obliquidens (Pacific white-sided dolphin), 2380 nucleotides long. RefSeq lists it as uncharacterized. The record is from RefSeq and is a predicted model, not a curated record. NCBI's taxonomy places the organism in Eukaryota, Metazoa, Chordata, Mammalia, Artiodactyla, Delphinidae. The transcript has 5 exons.